ACCCGCUGAACUUAAGCAUAUCAAUAAGCGGAGGAAAAGAAACCAACAGGGAUUGCCUCAGUAACGGCGAGUGAAGCGGCAAAAGCUCAAAUUUGAAAUCUGGCCGCAAGGUCCGAGUUGUAAUUUGUAGAGGAUAAUUCGGCAUUGACUUUGGUCCAAGUCUUCUGGAACGAAGCAUCUUGGAGGGUGAGAAUCCCGUACGACCAAUUGUUACUACCAUGUGAAUUUCCUUCGAAGAGUCGAGUUGUUUGGGAAUGCAGCUCAAAUUUGGUGGUAAAUUCCAUCUAAAGCUAAAUAUUGGCCAGAGACCGAUAGCGCACAAGUAGAGUGAUCGAAAGAUGAAAAGCACUUUGGAAAGAGAGUGAAACAGUACGUGAAAUUGUUGAAAGGGAAGCGCUUACAAUCAGACUUGUAUUCAGUUGUUCCACUAGUUUUUAACUGGUUUAUUCUUCUGUUUUCAGGCCAACAUCAGUUUCAGCGGUUGGAUAAAGGUUUUAGGAAUGUGAUUCUUCGGAAUGUUAUAGCCUAUUACAUAAUACAGCCCGUUGGGACUGAGGUCAGCGUUCGCUAGGAUGUUGGCGUAAUGGUUGUCAGCGGCCCGUCUUGAAACACGG
This 614-nucleotide ribosomal RNA is filed under the name uncultured fungus. Its description in RNAcentral is "eukaryotic LSU rRNA". It matches the Rfam family "Eukaryotic large subunit ribosomal RNA", at positions 23 to 664 of the family's 3401-position model. The record is from RNAcentral. Lineage: Eukaryota; Fungi.